UACGAAGGGGGCUAGCGUUGCUCGGAAUCACUGGGCGUAAAGCGCACGUAGGCGGCUUCUUAAGUCGGUGGUGAAAUCCUGGAGCUCAACUCCAGAACUGCCUUCGAUACUGGGAGCUCGAGUCCGGGAGAGGUGAGUGGAACUGCGAGUGUAGAGGUGAAAUUCGUAGAUAUUCGCAAGAACACCAGUGGCGAAGGCGGCUCACUGGCCCGGUACUGACGCUGAGGUGCGAAAGCGUGGGGAGCAAACAGG
This 252-nucleotide ribosomal RNA is filed under the name uncultured bacterium. RNAcentral's name for it is "partial 16S ribosomal RNA". It matches the Rfam family "Bacterial small subunit ribosomal RNA", at positions 524 to 776 of the family's 1533-position model. The record is from RNAcentral.